GGAACCACAAGACAGAUGAGACCUCAACUCUCUUAAGCUUUCAUUUUAUGAAGAAGGAAGAUAAUGAAAACAUAAACAAAUUUGAAAGAAUUUUAGAAAGGGAAAAGCGAUACGAUGAGAAACUAAAAUGAAAAGUGACUUGGAAGAAGACGUCUUCUCUGAAGAGCUGGCAAAGGGGAUACAAAUAUUUUUGUUGCCUGGGAUUGGAGAC
RNAcentral lists this long non-coding RNA (211 nucleotides) under Microcebus murinus (gray mouse lemur). RNAcentral describes it as "lncRNA (ENSMICG00000048371.1)". Lineage: Eukaryota; Metazoa; Chordata; Mammalia; Primates; Cheirogaleidae. The record is from RNAcentral.